This 497-nucleotide ribosomal RNA is filed under the name uncultured bacterium. RNAcentral's name for it is "partial 16S ribosomal RNA". It matches the Rfam family "Bacterial small subunit ribosomal RNA", at positions 28 to 507 of the family's 1533-position model. The record is from RNAcentral.
GAUGAACGCUGGCGGCGUGCCUAAUACAUGCAAGUCGAGCGAACAGAUGAGGGGUUUGUUCCUCUGACGAUAGCGGCGGACGGGCGAGUAACACGUGGAUAACCUACCUAUACGACUGGAAUAACUUCGGGAAACAGGAUCUAACACCGGAUAAUAGAUUGAACCGCACGGUUUAAUAGUGAAAGACGAUUUUGCUGUCACAUAUAGAUGGAUCCGCGCCGCAUUAGCUAGUUGGGAAGGUAACGGCUUACCAAGGCAACGAUGCGUAGCCGACCUGAGAGGGUAGGCAGCCCCCCUGGAACGGAAACACGGUCCAGACCCCUACGGGAGGCAACGGUGGGGAAUGUUCCGUAAGGGGCGGAACCCUAGCGUGACACCGCCGCGUAGGUGAUAAAGUUCUUGGGAUCUUAAUACUCUGUUGUUUGGGAGAAACAAAUGUGUAAGUAACUUUUCACGUCUUGACGGUACCUAAUCAGAAAGGCACGGCUAACUACGUG